Molecule: transfer RNA, 71 nt
Filed under: Loxodonta africana (African savanna elephant)
Lineage: Eukaryota; Metazoa; Chordata; Mammalia; Proboscidea; Elephantidae
Rfam family: tRNA
About the family: Transfer RNA (tRNA) molecules are approximately 80 nucleotides in length.
Source: Rfam by way of RNAcentral
ACAUUGGUGGUUCAGUGGCAGAAUUCUCGCUUUCCAUGAGGGAGACCAGGGUUCAAUUCCUGGCCAAUGUG